RNAcentral lists this unclassified non-coding RNA (331 nucleotides) under soil metagenome. Its description in RNAcentral is "partial contains 5.8S ribosomal RNA, internal transcribed spacer 2, and large subunit ribosomal RNA". The stretch from base 1 to 120 matches the Rfam family "5.8S ribosomal RNA", at positions 35 to 154 of the family's 154-position model. The record is from RNAcentral.
GAUGAAGAACGCAGCGAAAUGCGAUAAGUAAUGCGAAUUGCAGAAUUCAGUGAGUCAUCGAAUCUUUGAACGCACAUUGCGCCCCCUGGUAUUCCGGGGGGCAUGCCUGUUCGAGCGUCAUUUCACCACUCAAGCCUCGCUUGGUAUUGGGCAUCGCGGUCCGCCGCGCGCCUCAAAUCGACCGGCUGGGUCUUCUGUCCCCUAAGCGUUGUGGAAACUAUUCGCUAAAGGGUGUUCGGGAGGCUACGCCGUAAAACAACCCCAUUUCUAAGGUUGACCUCGGAUCAGGUAGGGAUACCCGCUGAACUUAAGCAUAUCAAUAAGCGGAGGA